Molecule: ribosomal RNA, 306 nt
Filed under: uncultured Enterobacteriaceae bacterium
Lineage: Bacteria; Pseudomonadati; Pseudomonadota; Gammaproteobacteria; Enterobacterales; Enterobacteriaceae
Description: bacterial SSU rRNA
Rfam family: Bacterial small subunit ribosomal RNA
Source: RNAcentral
UGGGAAGUAUUGCACAAUGGCGGCAAGCCUGAUGCAGCCAUGCCGCGUGUAUGAAGAAGGCCUUCGGGUUGUAAAGUACUUUCAGCGGGAGGAAGGAGUAAGGUUAAUAACCUUAUUCAUUGACGUUACCCGCAGAAGAAGCACCGGCUAACUCCGUGCCAGCAGCCGCGGUAAUACGGAGGGUGCAAGCGUUAAUCGGAAUUACUGGGCGUAAAGCGCACGCAGGCGGUCUGUCAAGUCGGAUGUGAAAUCCCCGGGCUCAACCUGGGAACUGCAUUCGAAACUGGCAGGCUGGAGUCUUGUAGA